UAGUGAUUGUAUGUCUACGUCUUUCAUAUAGAAACAGGUAUGAGAUACUCCACCUUUUCCGAAUAAGAAAAAGAAAAACUACCACAUAAAACUCAAUUUCAUCAGCAUCACCAUUUUCCAUAGAAGAUGAAAUAAUAACUUGAAGAUAGACAACGCGGUUUCCUUCAAUAUAAUUCAAUUCGUUUUCCUACUUUUAGUAUUUAAAGAAUUAGUUUGGGCUGAUUGGGGCCAAAAUUUACACUAGCCCACCGGCACCGCCUGACUUCUCUAGGGAAAGGAGUGCGAGAGAGUGUUUCGGAACCUGCUCCUUCAAACCAAAUUUCGGAGACAGAGAGGAGAAAUCACACAACCUGAGACCAAGCAGUGAUUUUCAUGGCCAAAAAAUGCUCAGGUCAAGUAUCUGUUUGGGAAAAGAAAAAAAAAUUCUUGGGUUUUUUGCUAUUCAGCUGGCGAUUAUGGACUGUGGCCAUGAUUUGUUGAGCUUCUUUGAGUUGUGAAACUAAAGCUCUCUCUUUCCAAUGACUACCGAUCACACAUACAGCAGAACAACAUCCUGAUGAGGUCAGAUUUGUUACAUCCGAUGAGCAAUUCAAUUCCACUCUUUCCUUUUACAUGAGAUUUAUGUCUUGGAAGAUGGGUGCUAAAUGUCCAUUGGAAGAAGUUGAAGUGAUAAUAAGAGAGAAUAUAGAUUUCGCCUUGAGAUUCAAAAACCUUGGUUAGUGGUUCUAGGCAUUGAGAGUUUCUGUUAUGUUGGAAAUUAGGAUCCUUCGUGGUCACUGUGCUUCUUUAAUUAGGAUGAGUUCAACAUGUACAAAUGCUUCAAGGCCUGAAGUGACCAUUGUACAUGAGCAUACCUGCAUUUUUGAAAAAUACCUUAGGCUAUGUAGUGAGAGCUUGUUUUUCUAUUGACAUUCUUGCUACAUGUUCACCUUUCUUCAAUCAAGUGUGAUAGGUCUAACUUGUAAUGUGUACACAUAUAUACAGUGGCAAUUUCAAGUAUAUGUUAGUGUUAUGAAGAUAUGGAGUGCACAUCAAAUAAA
Molecule: long non-coding RNA, 1040 nt
Organism: Quercus robur (English oak)
Lineage: Eukaryota; Viridiplantae; Streptophyta; Magnoliopsida; Fagales; Fagaceae
Exons: 3
Source: RefSeq, a predicted model, not a curated record